UGGGGAAUAUUGCACAAUGGGCGCAAGCCUGAUGCAGCCAUGCCGCGUGUGUGAAGAAGGCCUUCGGGUUGUAAAGCACUUUCAGCGGGGAGGAAGGCGAUAAGGUUAAUAACCUUGUCGAUUGACGUUACCCGCAGAAGAAGCACCGGCUAACUCCGUGCCAGCAGCCGCGGUAAUACGGAGGGUGCAAGCGUUAAUCGGAAUUACUGGGCGUAAAGCGCACGCAGGCGGUCUGUCAAGUCGGAUGUGAAAUCCCCGGGCUCAACCUGGGAACUGCCUUCGAAACUGGCAGGCUAGAGUCUUGUAGAGGGGGGUAGAAUUCCAGGUGUAGCGGUGAAAUGCGUAGAGAUCUGGAGGAAUACCGGUAGCGAAGGCGGCCCCCUGGACAAAGACUGACGCUCAGGUGCGAAAGCGUGGGGAGCAAACAGG
This 429-nucleotide ribosomal RNA is filed under the name Chloroflexota bacterium. RNAcentral describes it as "Chloroflexi bacterium partial 16S ribosomal RNA". It matches the Rfam family "Bacterial small subunit ribosomal RNA", at positions 355 to 776 of the family's 1533-position model. The record is from RNAcentral. Lineage: Bacteria; Bacillati; Chloroflexota.